RNAcentral lists this ribosomal RNA (215 nucleotides) under Glomeromycotina sp. RNAcentral describes it as "partial small subunit ribosomal RNA". The stretch from base 75 to 215 matches the Rfam family "Eukaryotic small subunit ribosomal RNA", at positions 722 to 864 of the family's 1831-position model. The record is from RNAcentral. Lineage: Eukaryota; Fungi; Glomeromycota.
GGGUCAGUAGGUUGGUCGUGCCACCGGUACGUACUGGUCUCACUGAUUCCUCCUUCCUGAAGAACCGUAAUGCCAUUAAUUUGGUGUUGCGGGAAACGGGACUGUUACUUUGAAAAAAUUAGUGUGUUUAAAGCAAGCUAACGCUUGAAUACAUUAGCAUGGAAUAAUGAAAUAGGACGAUCGAUCCUAUUUUGUUGGUUUCUAGGAUUGACGUA